GCCGCUGCCUCUGGCAAGAGCAGGCAUAGGAGCCGCAGUUGCGAGAGGCACAGAGCAGUGCCUCUCCCAACCGCGGCUCCUGUGCCUGCCCCUGCGAGAGGCGGGCGGC
Molecule: non-coding RNA, 109 nt
Organism: Podarcis lilfordi (Lilford's wall lizard)
Lineage: Eukaryota; Metazoa; Chordata; Lepidosauria; Squamata; Lacertidae
Source: the annotation of a GenBank genome assembly